This is a non-coding RNA of Triticum aestivum (bread wheat), 115 nucleotides long. NCBI's taxonomy places the organism in Eukaryota, Viridiplantae, Streptophyta, Magnoliopsida, Poales, Poaceae. The record is from Rfam.
CAAGUACUCCCUCCAUCUGGAUUUACUUGUCAUCAAAAUGGAUGUGUCUAGAACUAAAAUACAUCUAGAUACAUCCAUUUCAAUGACAAGUAUUUUUAGACGGAGGGAGUACAAG